AACGAACGCUGGCGGCAUGCCUAACACAUGCAAGUCGAACGAGACCUUCGGGUCUAGUGGCGCACGUGUGCGUAGCGCGUCGAAACAUACCCUUAGGUUCGGCAUAACUCCCCGACGGGGGUGCUAAUACCGAAUGAUGUCUUCAGACCAAAGAUUUAUCGCCUUUGGAUGGGUCCGAGUGGGAUUAGCUAGUUGGUAGGGUAAAAGACUAUCAAGGCGUCGAUCCAUAACUGGUCUGAGAGGAUGAGCAGCAACACUGGGACUGAGACCCGGCCCAGACUCCUACGGGAGGCAGGAGUGGGGAAUAUUGGACAAUGGGCGAAAGCCUGAUGGAGCAAUGCCGCGAGAGUGAUGAAGUCGUUAGGGUUGGAAAGCGCUUUUACCCGGGAUGAUAAUGACAGUACCGGGAGAAUAAGCUCCGGCUAACUACGUG
This 433-nucleotide ribosomal RNA is filed under the name uncultured bacterium. RNAcentral's name for it is "partial 16S ribosomal RNA". It matches the Rfam family "Bacterial small subunit ribosomal RNA", at positions 29 to 507 of the family's 1533-position model. The record is from RNAcentral.